UACAGAGGUCUCAAGCGUUGUUCGGAUUUAUUGGGCGUAAAGGGUGUGUAGGUGGCGCGCUAAGUCGGGUGUGAAAUUUCGGAGCUUAACUCCGAAACUGCAUUCGAUACUGGCGUGCUUGAGGACUGGAGAGGAGACUGGAAUUUACGGUGUAGCAGUGAAAUGCGUAGAUAUCGUAAGGAAGACCAGUGGCGAAGGCGGGUCUCUGGACAGUUCCUGACACUGAGACACGAAGGCCAGGGGAGCAAACGGG
RNAcentral lists this ribosomal RNA (253 nucleotides) under uncultured bacterium. Its description in RNAcentral is "partial 16S ribosomal RNA". It matches the Rfam family "Bacterial small subunit ribosomal RNA", at positions 524 to 776 of the family's 1533-position model. The record is from RNAcentral.